Molecule: long non-coding RNA, 692 nt
Organism: Salvelinus namaycush (lake trout)
Lineage: Eukaryota; Metazoa; Chordata; Actinopteri; Salmoniformes; Salmonidae
Exons: 3
Source: RefSeq, a predicted model, not a curated record
UAGGGGUAAAAAAUGGUUCUCGUAGAGCUCGCAAGGAGGUGUCAAAUACGGACUUUGCGCCCCCGAGACAAUAGCAUUUACUGAUGAUGUUGAUGUCUUUGAAGAGUUUCCCCACAGGCUGCCUCCUCCAGCUUCUAGACAAGAUCAUCUCUGACAGUGCAACAACCUGUCCAGCAUUUGACAAAGAUGCGAAGUGAACGAGUGCCAGACUUCGUGGGGAAAUGUCCAGACCGCAGUUCUUCACGUGAGACAGAUCCACAUGUGGGGUAACAUCUCCCAAUUGUCACGCCCAGCUGUUGAGACCAGAGAUGGAUCAAGAGCUCAACUUUCUGCCAAUAUUUCGUCAGAGAACAAGACAGUCGACCUGCUCCAGGGGAUGUGUGGGGAUACAGGAGAGACUGGCAACUACAGACAGCUCCAGGCUGGAUCUGUCUGUCCCCUCUCUCUCUCCUCUAUCCUCAUCUAUCUGUCUCCACCACUGCUUGUAGACAACGAUGAUGAGAUCUGUCAAGUCUUGUCCUAUUAUUUUCAUAACUAGGGAUCGAAACAGAACACGUUGGUGGAAUCAUCCCCAGAAUCGGUCCCAUUUGCAUUGAAGGGUAUUUGCAGAACUCUCGGUAGGUUUUCUCUCCUGAAAUGUAUGAUCUCUGCUCUACUGCCUUUAGUAAACCAAUAUAACCCUUUUGUCUGAA